AAGCCCGGGGCUCAACCUCGGAACCGCAUUUGAAACUGGCAGGCUAGAGUCUUGUAGAGGGGGGUAGAAUUUCAGGUGUAGCGGUGAAAUGCGUAGAGAUCUGAAGGAAUACCAGUGGCGAAGGCGGCCCCCUGGACAAAGACUGACGCUCAGAUGCGAAAGCGUGGGUAGCAAACAGGAUUAGAUACCCUGGUAGUCCACGCCGUAAACGCUGUCUACUUGGAGGUUGAGGUUUAGACUUUGGCUUUCGGCGCUAACGCAUUAAGUAGACCGCCUGGGGAGUACGGCCGCAAGGUUAAAACUCAAAUGAAUUGACGGGGGCCCGCACAAGCGGUGGAGCAUGUGGUUUAAUUCGAUGCAACGCGAAGAACCUUACCUACUCUUGACAUCCAGUGAAGCCUUUAGAGAUAGAGGCGUGCCUUCGGGAGCGCUGAGACAGGUGCUGCAUGGCUGUCGUCAGCUCGUGUUGUGAAAUGUUGGGUUAAGUCCCGCAACGAGCGCAACCCUUAUCCUUGUUUGCCAGCACGUAAUGGUGGGAACUCCAGGGAGACUGCCGGUGAUAAACCGGAGGAAGGUGGGGACGACGUCAAGUCAUCAUGGCCCUUACGAGUAGGGCUACACACGUGCUACAAUGGCAGAUACAGAGGGCAGCGAGACAGCGAUGUUUAGCGAAUCCCUUAAAGUUUGUCGUAGUCCGGAUUGGAGUCUGCAACUCGACUCC
RNAcentral lists this ribosomal RNA (721 nucleotides) under uncultured Salinivibrio sp. RNAcentral describes it as "bacterial SSU rRNA". It matches the Rfam family "Bacterial small subunit ribosomal RNA", at positions 598 to 1319 of the family's 1533-position model. Lineage: Bacteria; Pseudomonadati; Pseudomonadota; Gammaproteobacteria; Vibrionales; Vibrionaceae. The record is from RNAcentral.